AUUCAGCUCUUAGAGUGUCCCCUGCUGGAUAAUUUGCAGAACACAUGCCCAGGGAUUCCGAGCUUGAAACUUAAAUGGAAAAACAAUAUUGCAUAUAACCAUACAUUUUGCUUAACAGUUUGCAUGGGGUGAAGCCUUUGCAGAUGAUCCAGGGUGGGUUCAGUCCCGAAGUCACAGUCCAGUGGAGUCCUCAAAGCAACCAAUCAGUGGUCCAUCAAGGAAGAAAGAUGAACAGAUGUAGAGUCUUGCUGCCCUUUUUCUUGAUUGAUGCACCUGCAUUUCCUUCAGCCAAGCAGCUCUCCACUUGACGAGACAUGAUCCUCACCUGCCCUGAGCUUAAUCCAGCUGAGUGACCACAAACCUCCUCCCAGACCUAACAAGCCCCAUGAUCUCCACCUGGUCCACUAACGAGCUGGGCUGUGUUUCCUUGCCUGCCUCAAACUCCUAGAAGACGUCCUGCUGUUCCUAACACCUCAGAGCCCACAGUGUCUGCAGAGAUGGGACUACCUCUGGUUUGGAUGAAGUGCCCCCUUCUCCUGAUGUCCUGUGAGUACCUCCUAAGCCCCCAACCUCCCCUUCCCCAUCUUCAGCCUGUCCUGAUGUGUACUAAUCAGAGCCAUCCACCUCGCUGGGAUCCUCUUCCCCUUUCUUGGUUGGCUGCCAGUUUAUGGCAGCCAGCAGGCCUAGUACCUGAAGCCAGGUCCCUGUAGAACAUGCCCAGUUUGUGUACAUGAC
Podarcis lilfordi (Lilford's wall lizard) is the source of this 735-nucleotide non-coding RNA. The record is from the annotation of a GenBank genome assembly. Lineage: Eukaryota; Metazoa; Chordata; Lepidosauria; Squamata; Lacertidae.